Molecule: ribosomal RNA, 470 nt
Filed under: uncultured bacterium
Lineage: Bacteria
Description: bacterial SSU rRNA
Rfam family: Bacterial small subunit ribosomal RNA
Source: RNAcentral
CAGGACGAACGCUGGCGGUAUAGCCUAACACAUGCAAGUCGAACGAGAUCAUUUUUUGUUCCAAAGAAAUGAUUGCAGUGGCGGACGGGUGAGGAACACGUAAGAACUUACCUUUUGGCGGGGGAUAACAACGGAAACUGUUGCUAAUACCCCCAUAAUGCUGAGGAGCGAAAGGGAAACUGCCAAAAGAGAGGCUUGCGUCUGAUUAGCUAGUUGGUGGAGGUAAAUGCUCCCCAAGGCGACGAUCAGUAGCUGGUCUGAGAGGAUGAUCAGCCACACUGGGACUGAGACACGGCCCAGACUCCUACGGGAGGCAGCAGUGGGGAAUUUUCCACAAUGGGCGAAAAAGCCUGAUGGAGCAAUACCGCGUGGGGGAUGAAGGAUCGUGGUUCGUAAACCUCUUUUCUUAAGGAAGAAUAAAUGACGGUACUUAAGGAAUAAGCACCGGCUAACUCCGUGCCAGCAGCGGC